Molecule: ribosomal RNA, 448 nt
Filed under: uncultured bacterium
Lineage: Bacteria
Description: bacterial SSU rRNA
Rfam family: Bacterial small subunit ribosomal RNA
Source: RNAcentral
GCUUAACGACAUGGCAAGUCGAACGGAAAGGCCCUUCGGGGUACUCGAGUGGCGAACGGGUGAGUAACACGUGGGUGAUCGUGCCCUGCACUUUGGGAUAAGCCUGGGAAACUGGGUCUAAUACCGAAUAGGACCACGCGCUUCAUGGUGUGUGGUGGAAAGCUUUUGCGGUGUGGGAUGGGCCCGCGGCCUAUCAGCUUGUUGGUGGGGUAAUGGCCUACCAAGGCGACGACGGGUAGCCGGCCUGAGAGGGUGACCGGCCACACUGGGACUGAGAUACGGCCCAGACUCCUACGGGAGGCAGCAGUGGGGAAUAUUGCACAAUGGGCGCAAGCCUGAUGCAGCGACGCCGCGUGAGGGAUGACGGCCUUCGGGUUGUAAACCCUCUUUCAAUAGGGACGAAGCGUGAGUGACGGUACCUAUAGAAGAAGCACCGGCCAACUACGUG